Molecule: ribosomal RNA, 480 nt
Filed under: uncultured fungus
Lineage: Eukaryota; Fungi
Description: eukaryotic LSU rRNA
Rfam family: Eukaryotic large subunit ribosomal RNA
Source: RNAcentral
UCCGCGCCCAAGUUGCAUGGUUGCAACGUCAAAGAGGGUGCAANNCCCGUUGUCGGCACAGCCCCCCCNGUGCGUAUGCGGUCCGCUUUCUACGAGUCGAGUUGUUUGGGAAUGCAGCUCUAAGUGGGUGGUAAAUUNCAUCUAAGGCUAAAUAGCGGCGAGAGACCGAUAGCGAACAAGUACCGUGAGGGAAAGAUGAAAAGCACUUUGGAAAGAGGGUGAAAUAACACGUGAAACUGCUUUAUUGGAAACGCUUGAAGUCAGGCACGCGUGGGUGGGGUUCAACCCGGCCUCGGCCGGGCGCAUUUCCCGCCCGUUUGCGCGUCAGCAUCGGUUUGCGCGGCCGGACAUGGGCCCGAGGAAAGUAGCACCCUCGGGUGUGUUAUAGCCUCGGGCAGGUGCGGCGGCGCAGACCGAGGNNNNCAGCGCGCCCUUGUGGCCCCCGUCCAGGCGGGGCACGCGCUCAGGAUGCUGACGAAA